RNAcentral lists this ribosomal RNA (241 nucleotides) under uncultured Hymenobacter sp. RNAcentral's name for it is "partial 16S ribosomal RNA". It matches the Rfam family "Bacterial small subunit ribosomal RNA", at positions 1 to 253 of the family's 1533-position model. The record is from RNAcentral. Lineage: Bacteria; Pseudomonadati; Bacteroidota; Cytophagia; Cytophagales; Hymenobacteraceae.
UAGUGAGUUUGAUCCUGGCUCAGGAUGAACGCUAGCGGCAGGCCUAAUACAUGCAAGUCGAACGGUGGUAGCAAUACCAUAGUGGCGCACGGGUGCGUAACGCGUAACCAACCUGCCCGGAACUGGGGGAUAGCCCGCCGAAAGGCGGAUUAAUACCGCAUAUACCAGCAGCCUGGCAUCAGGCAAUUGGGAAAGAUUUUAUUGGUUCAGGAUGGGGGUUGCGUGACAUUAGCUAGUUGGC